This 401-nucleotide ribosomal RNA is filed under the name uncultured bacterium. Its description in RNAcentral is "bacterial SSU rRNA". It matches the Rfam family "Bacterial small subunit ribosomal RNA", at positions 358 to 774 of the family's 1533-position model. The record is from RNAcentral.
GGAAUAUUGGGCAAUGGGGGAAACCCUGACCCAGCAACGCCGCGUGAGGGAAGAAGGUUUUCGGAUCGUAAACCUCUGUCCUUGGUGAAGAGGAAGAGACGGUAGCCAAGGAGGAAGCCCCGGCUAACUACGUGCCAGCAGCCGCGGUAAUACGUAGGGGGCAAGCGUUGUCCGGAAUGAUUGGGCGUAAAGGGCGCGUAGGCGGCCUUAUAAGUCUGGAGUGAAAGUCCUGCCUUCAAGGUGGGAAUUGCUUUGGAUACUGUAGGGCUUGAGUGCAGGAGAGGUAAGUGGAAUUCCCAGUGUAGCGGUGAAAUGCGUAGAGAUUGGGAGGAACACCAGUGGCGAAGGCGACUUACUGGACUGUAACUGACGCUGAGGCGCGAAAGUGUGGGGAGCAAACA